This 116-nucleotide ribosomal RNA is filed under the name Acanthosepion pharaonis. The record is from RNAcentral. Lineage: Eukaryota; Metazoa; Mollusca; Cephalopoda; Sepiida; Sepiidae.
UUACGGUCAAAUCACGCUGAAAACACCGGUUCUCGUUCGAUCACCGAAGUUAAGCAUCGUAGAGCCAGGUCAGUACUUAGAUGGGGGAUCGCUUGGGAACACCUGGUACUGUAAGC